RNAcentral lists this long non-coding RNA (1940 nucleotides) under Citrus maxima (pomelo). RNAcentral's name for it is "long non-coding RNA (CMAX_LNC003255)". The stretch from base 366 to 447 matches the Rfam family "tRNA". The record is from RNAcentral. Lineage: Eukaryota; Viridiplantae; Streptophyta; Magnoliopsida; Sapindales; Rutaceae.
GUAGGGUGGUGACGGUGGUGGAGAAGACGAGGCUAACGCUCAUGUCACAUUCAUGGCACCAGUACGUCAAUCUUACGCUGCUGCUGCUGGACAUUUUGGUUUGGCCAAUCUUAUUAUUUGUUCGUUUGUUUCUGCGUUUUCAUUUUUGGUUGAAUAUUAAAGAAAGAAUGGCCGUGUAUGAGUAUGAGCGAUACUCAUUUGUGUGUGGGGCUGCCUUGCCUUUUCCUUUUAGACAUUAGCAUUUGCUACCUUUCGGCUGGUGGUACUGCCAGUGCCGGUGCUCUGUCCUAUUCAUUGUCAGUUUUCGUGGUUAACAAACUAUUAAUAAUAGAUAGAUUUUCAUGGUGGAUUACUUAACACAAAGUGACGCUUUGGCCGAGUGGUUAAGGCGUGUGCCUGCUAAGUACAUGGGGUUUCCCCGCGAGAGUUCGAAUCUCUCAGGCGUCGCUGGUAACUUUUUCUUUUUGUAUUUAUUUACUUAUCUAUAAUGGUCACUUUUCUUCAAUCUAGGCUAGGGUUUCCUCCCUUCCGCUGUUGUCUUGCUGCCCAGUUCGAAAUGCCAAAGUUUCAGGUUAGAAUCUGUUACAGACAACAGAAAAUUCUAUUAUCAUUUCGUGGGUUUUCCUUGAUUUCAAUUUUUGCGCACUUUGCUGAAACUCUCUCCAACAGAAAAUUCCUUGAUUUCAUGUUUUCUGUAAUUUCCCAUUUGACUCUUUAUAAUUGCUUGGAAAUUCAUUGCCAAUUAUCCUUAUAAACCCAUCGUUGUUUAUUAUUAUUAUUGUUAUUUAAUAGUUUGUGAACUGGAGAUAACAUAGCUUCCUUUAUAAUUCAGUGUAAUUAUUGAACACAGUUUUUUGCAUUGCAUUGAACAACUUGCCAAACAAUGAUCAUGUUCUGUCCAUGCUGAAAAGGUCAUGUCUUGAUGCAAACAAGUACCUUGCUCAUAUUAAUGCGCAUUUUUACUUGAGUGUUUGAUCUGCACAUAUUUUAAAUUCGUACCGUAUGAGCUGGUUUUGAUCUCAAUAUUGAUGUCAUUGGAGAACACUUUUCUUGGUGUUAAUAAUGUGAAACAAUCUCCUCCACACCUAGAAGAACAGCCUUUACGUCAGUGCCCGUAAUAUAUAAGUAGAUAUCAGGAAAAGGUUGUGCCAUGAUAGUUAAACUAAGUAGACUACUGUAUAUUACAUGCUAGAAAUUGUUGUUCAUUAUUUGAAUGGAUUUCUGUCCAUAGGGGAAUGGAUACAAGCUUUUAAGUACACUCUGUCGGAACAGAAUAUGAGUGGUAAAAAAUGAAUGUCGUGAAAGUUUAUGAAGGUUUUCAUUUUCCAAUGAGGUAACAUUUAUGUUCUGUGAAAUAGGAUAUCCAUCCUCUAAUUUAUAAUUGACGGCAAGAAGGUUCUUAGUUGUGUAUUCAAUCUUUUGAGAGGCUCAUGGAGCUUUCUGACUACUAAAAGACAAGGAGUUCGCAGUUAAGAGUAGCUUGAUUCUGUUAUGUUCUGCAAUAUUUGAUUUGAGUAAAAGGUCAAGUAUAUUGAGGUUUGUCAUACAAAACUUUUUGGCAUUGAUGCUUUGCAAUGUGUUAGUGGAAUUGUUGUAUUUUAUACAAUUUGACUUGCACAUGCAAGCCAAACUCUGCCUUGCCUACUCUUCUAGUACUUUUGUUGUCUCUAUUCACUAACGACUUAUGUCUCCUAUGACUAAGAGUAUAGAAAUUUCUAAAGCGCCAGAUAUCGGACACGGAGGAUAUGCUAUAUCUCUAUCUAGAAGAACCAAGAUGUGAUCUAAUUGGUAAGAUAAAUGUCCAGCAUUGGAGUUCAUGCUCACUGAUAUACCUAGAGGCUUCAAGAAUGGCACAUGAUAAUUAACCAUACCAGUCUCCAGAAUUGAUUCUCAAGUGCAUUUAGAUCGGGUUGCCUAGCAUUAGCACCCUACCAAACUUU